RNAcentral lists this ribosomal RNA (229 nucleotides) under uncultured bacterium. RNAcentral describes it as "partial 16S ribosomal RNA". It matches the Rfam family "Bacterial small subunit ribosomal RNA", at positions 118 to 348 of the family's 1533-position model. The record is from RNAcentral.
UGAGGAACCUGCCCUUGACUCUGGGAUAACAGUUGGAGACAGCUGCUAAUACUGGAUAUUCAUCGUCUCCUUGGUGGGGGUGGUGGAAAGCUCCGGCGGUCAGGGAUGGGCUCGCGGCCUAUCAGCUUGCUGGUGAGGUAAUGGCUCACCAAGGCUUCGACGGGUAGCCGGCCUGAGAGGGCGACCGGCCACACUGGGACUGAGAUACGGCCCAGACUCCGUAGGGAGG